ACGUUACGGACUGAAUUUUGAUUGAACCUUGGUAUAAUAAAAUAGGAAAAUCCGUUCAUUUUAGAAAUAGUGAGGGUUCAAGUCCCUCUAUCCCCA
Molecule: transfer RNA, 96 nt
Filed under: Arceuthobium globosum subsp. aureum
Lineage: Eukaryota; Viridiplantae; Streptophyta; Magnoliopsida; Santalales; Viscaceae
Also listed under: 3 other names
Description: tRNA-Leu
Source: RNAcentral